GGGAGUAUAGCUCAGUGGUAGAGCUUGUGCUUAGCAUGAGCAACGUCCUGGGUUCAGUCCCCAGUACCUCCA
RNAcentral lists this transfer RNA (72 nucleotides) under Camelus ferus (Wild Bactrian camel). It matches the Rfam family "tRNA". Rfam says of the family: Transfer RNA (tRNA) molecules are approximately 80 nucleotides in length. Their secondary structure includes four short double-helical elements and three loops (D, anti-codon, and T loops). Lineage: Eukaryota; Metazoa; Chordata; Mammalia; Artiodactyla; Camelidae. The record is from Rfam by way of RNAcentral.